UACAGAGGUCUCAAGCGUUGUUCGGAAUCACUGGGCGUAAAGGGUGCGUAGGCCGCACGGUAAGUCAGAGGUGAAAUCCCGGAGCUCAACUCCGGAAUUGCCUCCGAUACUGCCGUGCUUGAGGACUGGAGAGGAGAUUGGAAUUCACAGUGGAGCAGUGAAAUGCGUAGAUAUUGUGAGGAACACUAGUGGCGAAAGCGAAUCUCUGGACAGUUCCUGACGCUGAGGCACGAAGGCCAGGGGAGCAAACGGG
This 253-nucleotide ribosomal RNA is filed under the name uncultured bacterium. RNAcentral describes it as "partial 16S ribosomal RNA". It matches the Rfam family "Bacterial small subunit ribosomal RNA", at positions 524 to 776 of the family's 1533-position model. The record is from RNAcentral.